GCGCCUGUAGUCUAAUUGGAUAAAACCGCACUCUUCUAAAGUGUAUCUUAUGAGUUCGAGUCUCGUCAGGCGUA
This 74-nucleotide transfer RNA is filed under the name Siphoviridae sp. ctLqe90. RNAcentral describes it as "tRNA-Arg". It matches the Rfam family "tRNA". From Rfam's summary of the family: Transfer RNA (tRNA) molecules are approximately 80 nucleotides in length. Their secondary structure includes four short double-helical elements and three loops (D, anti-codon, and T loops). Lineage: Duplodnaviria; Heunggongvirae; Uroviricota; Caudoviricetes. The record is from RNAcentral.